This 493-nucleotide ribosomal RNA is filed under the name uncultured bacterium. RNAcentral's name for it is "partial 16S ribosomal RNA". It matches the Rfam family "Bacterial small subunit ribosomal RNA", at positions 29 to 523 of the family's 1533-position model. The record is from RNAcentral.
AUUGAACGCUGGCGGCAUGCUUUACACACGCAAGUCGAACGGUAACAGGUUAAGCUGACGAGUGGCGAACGGGUGAGUAAUGCAUCGGAACGUGCCCGAUCGUGGGGGAUAACGCAGCGAAAGCUGCGCUAAUACCGCAUACGAUCUGAGGAUGAAAGCGGGGGACCGUAAGGCCUCGCGCGAUCGGAGCGGCCGAUGUCAGAUUAGGUAGUUGGUGGGGGAAAGGCUGACCAAGCCAACGAUCUGUAGCUGGUCUGAGAGGACGACCAGCCACACUGGGACUGAGACACGGCCCAGACUCCUACGGGAGGCAGCAGUGGGGAAUUUUGGACAAUGGGCGAAAGCCUGAUCCAGCAAUGCCGCGUGCAGGAAGAAGGCCUUCGGGUUGUAAACUGCUUUUGUACGGAGCGAAAAGGCCCUCUCUAAUACAGGGGGUUUAUGACGGUACCGUAAGAAUAAGCACCGGCUAACUACGUGCCAGCCGCCGCCGUAA